CUACGGGACGCACCAGUGGGGAAUAUUGCACAAUGGAGGAAACUCUGAUGCAGUAACGCCGCGUGGAGGAUGACACUUUUCGGAGCGUAAACUCCUUUUAUAUAGGAAGAAGAUGACGGUACUAUAUGAAUAAGCGCCGGCUAACUCCGUGCCAGCAGCCGCGGUAAUACGGAGGGUGCAAGCGUUACUCGGAAUCACUGGGCGUAAAGAGCGUGUGGGCGGAUUAAAAAGUCAGAAGUGAAAUCCUAUAGCUUAACUAUAGAACUGCUUCUGAAACUCUUAAUCUAGAAUAUGGGAGAGGUAGAUGGAAUUUCUGGUGUAGGGGUAAAAUCCGUAGAGAUCAGGAGGAAUACCGAUUGCGAAGGCGAUCUACUAGAACAUUAUUGACGCUGAGACGCGAAAGCGUGGGGAGCAAACAGGAUUAGAUACCCCCGGUAGUC
Molecule: ribosomal RNA, 440 nt
Filed under: uncultured bacterium
Lineage: Bacteria
Description: partial 16S ribosomal RNA
Rfam family: Bacterial small subunit ribosomal RNA
Source: RNAcentral